AUUGAGCGAAGUGCCUGGCACUUGGGCAUUGAAAAAAAAAAAAAGAAAGCAGAGAAGGAAAGAAGGAAGAGAGAAAGGAAGAAUGAAGAGAAGGGAGAAGAGAUGGAGACAGAAAGGCAAGACAGGGAGAUGUAGGAUUCUCAGCUACUUCUCCAGCCCCAUGGCUGCCUUCGUGCUGCCAUGUUCCUGCCAUGAUGAUAAUGGACUGAACUUCUGAACUACUCUUGGGAACAAGUUGGCUAGCCAGCCACAUGUCCCUUACAGGGAACCUGAGGACAAAGCCAGCACAGGAAGAUGGAUCCCAGGGAUACAAGGUUCUGGAGAUGUUCAAGUCCUGCCAUUGGGAGCUAUCCCUGUGCCUGGUCCUCCCAGUUUGUUAUCAGCCAAUAAGUACUCUUUUCAGUUAUGUCAUUUCAAUUCAGAUCAGUCAAGAGAAUCCUGAAUGGUGUGCUACACCAAUGUGAGGGUAAAAGGAUAAUGGUUUGUAUAG
RNAcentral lists this long non-coding RNA (490 nucleotides) under Cricetulus griseus (Chinese hamster). RNAcentral's name for it is "lncRNA (ENSCGRG00015039101.1)". The record is from RNAcentral. Lineage: Eukaryota; Metazoa; Chordata; Mammalia; Rodentia; Cricetidae.